This 586-nucleotide ribosomal RNA is filed under the name Hepatozoon canis. RNAcentral describes it as "bacterial SSU rRNA". It matches the Rfam family "Eukaryotic small subunit ribosomal RNA", at positions 235 to 811 of the family's 1831-position model. Lineage: Eukaryota; Apicomplexa; Hepatozoidae. The record is from RNAcentral.
UAUGAAAAUUGGUGAUUUAUAAUAACUUAUCCAAUCGCAAAGUGAAAACAGGCGGAUAAAUCAUUCAAGAUUUCUGACCUAGUCAGCCUUUCGACGGUAUGGUAUUGGCUUACCGUGGCAGUGACGGUUAACGGGGGAUUAGGGUUCGAUUCCGGAGAGGGAGCCUGAGAAACGGCUACCACAUCUAAGGAAGGCAGCAGGCGCGCAAAUUACCCAAUUCUAACAGUUUGAGAGAGGUAGUAACAAGAAAUAACAAUACAAGGCAGUUAAAAUGCUUUGUAAUUGGAAUGAUAGAAAUUUAAACCCUUUUUAAAGUAUCAAUUGGAGGGCAAGUCUGGUGCCAGCAGCCGCGGUAAUUCCAGCUCCAAUAGCGUAUAUUAAAAUUGUUGCAGUUAAAAAGCUCGUAGUUGAAGUUCUGCUGAAAGUAACCGGUCUGCUUUUAAUAAAAGUGGUAUCUUGGUAUGUAUUUAGCAAUGAUGUCCUUUGAAGUGUUUUUUACUUUAUUGUAAUAAAGCAUAUUCAGGACUUUUACUUUGAGAAAAUUAAAGUGUUUCUAGCAGGCUAACGCUUUGAAUACUGCAGCAUG